UGGGGGCUCUGUAAACUGUUUCCUGACAAAGUCCAAUACAUCUGACCAGCCUGUUGUUGAAGCAAAGUACUUCAUUUUCAGAGAAUAUUCUUGGGAGGGUAAUACAUUGGGGGUUAUUGUAUUCUAUUUUGCAUAUUAAGUACAAAACAGUUGGCUCAUAAGUUUUUUUCAUCACAUUUUACUACCAUACUAAACGUCUUGUCUCAGGUCAUAAUAUGCAAUUCCGAUUUCUCUCUGCCCCUGGCUUCCUUCGCAUCUAUUUUGGCUGCACUGGUGCGAAGUAGAUCGAGCGCUCAGGGAUGAGGCCCUGGCAGUUCUAAUCAGGGGAGAGGAGCCCCUCCAGAGCCUAUGGGAACCGAAGCCUUGAACACCCCCUACCUGCAAAGACCCACGUUAUGGGCUGGAACCAGAACCCUCGCUGAAUUCUUCAAAGGACAGAGGGUUAGGCGUGAAGUCUAGAGGAAUAAGACAGAGUUCCAUUCUGUUCUUCUGAACUGCAUUGGCCCACUUACAGUUUAUUCCUGAACAGCCUAUCAGCAAAGGCAUACGAAGCAAGUCAGAGGACGGAGAAUUUUUUUUUUUUUUAACGACAUUUUUAGAGGUCGGGUUAUAAAGAGAGUGUCCAUUUAGAUAUUGUUUAAGGGCGGCAUGGACUCCACAGCCCAGUGGUGGUGGCAAAGGUUAUGAAGACAACGAUAAGCGACGAUAAGCAACGAUAACCUGACUGCGGCUUAAAUCACCCUGGCAGAGUUGUUGGAAAAGACGAUCUGCCAAAGCAAGGGUGCGGCUCCACCUUCUCAGGGGCUGGGCAUUGCAGGAUGACCGGAGAGAUCGACUCCUGUCGCUACAUUUUUGCAGAGGUCCGGGCUGCUUUGUGGGGGUCCAGGAAGAGCUCCGCAGACCUCAUCCUCGUCCCCACCGUCCCCGACCCCGCGGCAGGGAGGCCCCGGCGCCCAAAACUGCUUUACGCAUUAAUUAUGAAAGUGAUCGCGCUAUUCAGGAUUAAGACUUGGAGGAGAUUUGGAAAAGACAAGCAACAAUCGAAAAGAAGAGGAGCGGCCAGCGCUUUGGAGGUUGCCUAA
RNAcentral lists this long non-coding RNA (1082 nucleotides) under Bos mutus (wild yak). RNAcentral's name for it is "lncRNA (ENSBMUG00000026871.1)". The record is from RNAcentral. Lineage: Eukaryota; Metazoa; Chordata; Mammalia; Artiodactyla; Bovidae.